UCAGAACUCGGAGUCGGGACAACUCAACAAGGGAACGAGGAGCCUCAAGGGAGAUACCUGCAUAACACUGGAUGCAGUGAAGAAGGAAUCAGAAAUGUUCUUAUGUUUUAGUGGCGGAAUGGCAAGGCGUCCGGUUAGAUGACCUGGGUCCGUGGCGAGUUGGUGGCUCUCGACUACAAGAAGAUCAUUGAGGCAAUCGAUAGUAGGUUGGUAAAUUGCUAACAAAACAUGUUUAGAACUACAAAAUUGGCUUUGUUCUGCUAUUUAUUUAUUUUUUGACUAAAAGUAGCAAUUUUUGCUUCCGUAUUAAGAUUUCAACAAGAAUCUAUAAAGGGCUCUAAGGGAGUAGAGGAAUCAAAAGAAAACACCUGACAGUGCAAAGUGCACUUAGGCAGUAAGGUCAACACAAGACUACUCAUGAAACGCCUCCAUCAGGAGGCCAAAAUAUACACAUACGAACUCCCGGACAUUGCAUACCGGGGAGCUUUCUUCUAUUUAGGAUUUAAGGUACUCGAUCAUUUGUUCUAAGUUCAGUAUUAAGUUAAUUUUUGUUCUGAAUGAUUAUAAACACAAUACAUGUUGGUCUAAGAAAAGACUUUUUUAAUUUGUAAUCCCUGUGUAAUACCAAUCGAUUUUGUUUUUUGCACAUCUAGGCUGAUAAUAUGCUCACGAAAAGACAGGAAUGCAGCACCACUCCAAUCUUUAGAAGGUCCCCACCCUGUUCUGGUAUGUUUAUGCUUAUGCAUCUACAGAAUUAUUCGAUGUUAUAUUGAUGUGUGAAUGGUGUAUCCCUGUUCUGGUAUGAAAAUCGGGUUGCUAGGAAUAAUCUCCAUCAUUCCUGGGUUGUGCAUAUGUGUUGUUCUAUAUUCCCCUCUUUAUAAUGCUAUGUGUUGUGGUAAACGCUCCCAAGCUAUGAUAGCUCGCUGAUGGUAGGUUGCCGCCCUGGCCCCCACAUGCUACCAGCAUGUGUUACUGUACAUUUUGCUUUCUUACAUGUCCUGAAUUAUAUUUCAAGGAAGAUGACUAUGAUUUAUAAGCACACGAACACAUCACAAUGUCACAUGGUAAUGCCAUGUGAUGGCAAUCUAGGGUCAUUUCUGUUAGAGAAGCCCCCUACCCCCUAGCCCUAGAUAUGCGAAUUCUGAGCGUCACCACGAAUAAGUGCAGAGGAAUAGUGGGUAGACCGCGAACCCUAAAUUUCUAGCAAUUCUGAAUACAUUCAUGUGCCAAUGAGGUGUCCAUGUAAUCAUGAUGUUAUAUUAGAUUUUUUAUGUUGUUAUUUCUUGCCCUGGUAGUACAACUAUGUAUACAAAACUCCAACACUGCUAGCGAAGUGGCUUUCCUUCUAACUGUUUGUCCAGGAAAGUACUAUUUAUCUCGGAUAGGGUGUGCUAAUCAUUGAACAACUUACAUACCUUUUCAGUGAUGAAUGUGGAUAAAGACGAAGCAGAGAACAUAAUAUCUUGGUGAAGGCAUCUCAACCGAGAUGAGACAUUGUUUAUUUAUUUAUGUCAUAUCCUACUCAUAGUCUGUUGUUCUGUGAGCAAUUGUUUGUUUUUUAACAGCUUACCAUUGAUAAUGAAUCGUGUAUGGUGGCUUUGUUAAUAUUCAAGUAGUAUUACAUAUUAGUAAUAUUGAAUGCAUGUUUUUUUGUGGUUUACUUAUGACUAGGUGCUUGUCAAAAAAUAAAAUUGAU
Molecule: long non-coding RNA, 1696 nt
Filed under: Triticum aestivum (bread wheat)
Lineage: Eukaryota; Viridiplantae; Streptophyta; Magnoliopsida; Poales; Poaceae
Description: long non-coding RNA (TAES_LNC019063)
Source: RNAcentral